GCCCCCAUGGCCUAGCGGUAUGGCGUUACCUUGGUAAGGUAGAGAUCCCGGGUUCAAUUCCCGGUGGGGGCUCCA
RNAcentral lists this transfer RNA (75 nucleotides) under Candidatus Woesearchaeota archaeon. Its description in RNAcentral is "tRNA-Thr". It matches the Rfam family "tRNA". From Rfam's summary of the family: Transfer RNA (tRNA) molecules are approximately 80 nucleotides in length. Their secondary structure includes four short double-helical elements and three loops (D, anti-codon, and T loops). Further hydrogen bonds mediate the characteristic L-shaped molecular structure. tRNAs have two regions of fundamental functional importance: the anti-codon, which is responsible for specific mRNA codon recognition, and the 3' end, to which the tRNAs corresponding amino acid is attached (by aminoacyl-tRNA synthetases). tRNAs cope with the degeneracy of the genetic code in two manners: having more than one tRNA (with a specific anti-codon) for a particular amino acid; and 'wobble' base-pairing, i.e. permitting non-standard base-pairing at the 3rd anti-codon position. The record is from RNAcentral. Lineage: Archaea; Nanobdellati; Candidatus Woesearchaeota.